AACGCACAUUGCGCCUCCUUUUACGGGGAGGCAUGCCUGUCUGAGCGUCGUCUUUCCGAUGGGUCCUCUCCGGAUCCGUGUUGGGCCCUGCGUCCUGCCGGCGCAUCGCCUCGAAGCCGUGUGCCCUUCCGUGGACGAGUUCCUCUAGGACCUGCCGCGGUCGGGCCUCCGUACGCGAGGCUCCGCCUCCGAAGUCUUUGACCUCAGAUCAGGUAGGGAAACCGCCUGAACUUAA
RNAcentral lists this unclassified non-coding RNA (235 nucleotides) under uncultured fungus. Its description in RNAcentral is "sequence contains ITS2". The record is from RNAcentral. Lineage: Eukaryota; Fungi.